RNAcentral lists this ribosomal RNA (254 nucleotides) under uncultured bacterium. RNAcentral's name for it is "partial 16S ribosomal RNA". It matches the Rfam family "Bacterial small subunit ribosomal RNA", at positions 524 to 776 of the family's 1533-position model. The record is from RNAcentral.
UACGUAGGGUGCGAGCGUUAAUCGGAAUUACUGGGCGUAAAGCGUGCGCAGGCGGUCUGUUAAGACCGAUGUGAAAUCCCCGGGCUUAACCUGGGAACUGCAUUGGUGACUGGCAGGCUUUGAGUGUGGCAGAGGGAGGUAGAAUUCCACGUGUAGCAGUGAAAUGCGUAGAUAUGUGGAGGAACACCGAUGGCGAAGGCAGCCCCCUGGGCUAACACUGACGCUCAUGCACGAAAGCGUGGGGAGCAAACAGG